GGCCCGCUCGUGGAGUGAACAGAGGAGCAGGAAGCCUGAGGUCCUAACCGUGAGUUACUGGGUCAUGCUCCUUGGGAACAGCAGGCAGGUCAGCAGCCCGAGCACAGGAGGAAGUAGGAAGAAGACAGACCAUGUGCCUUUCGGGUCGAAUUCGCAAAUGUGAGGAAGCUUAAACACAAUUUUAGUUCUGUGUGGAAAAUGAACAAAGACCAUAAGUUCUCAGUACCGUGCCACAGAAAUCAAUUAAAGGCGACUCUGAACAAGCGCACUACUGUAUGGAAAGAAUCACGUGGGCAGAGUGAAAGAGAGGUAAAGGCAAUGAGAAAGAGCAGGGACGUGGGAGAAGACGAGGAGAUGAAAAACAAGAAACCAGAAGUUUCUGUUGUUAAUGCCACCCAAGAAACAGGAAAAAUGAUGGGAUACCACGGGGAGGAGAUUCCUUGAGAACGUGUAGAAGCUUGAGAGGGACUCCACGGACGUUUCUGGGUAAAAACCACUAAAUGAAAGUCUUGUUUGCACAGUUCUAGCUUCCGGUACACAUUUUUCACGGCCUGUCAAAAUCAAGGAUACCUACUCUCCAGGGGCAGAACCACAUUUCAGUUAAUUUCCUAUUAAGCG
Molecule: long non-coding RNA, 618 nt
Filed under: Fukomys damarensis (Damara mole-rat)
Lineage: Eukaryota; Metazoa; Chordata; Mammalia; Rodentia; Bathyergidae
Description: lncRNA (ENSFDAG00000030222.1)
Source: RNAcentral